GCGGAAAUGCUGGAAUUGGCAGACAGGCAUGACUAAGGAUCAUGUGGUGCUACACCGUGAGGGUUCAAGUCCCUUUUUCCGCA
This 83-nucleotide transfer RNA is filed under the name Lachnospiraceae bacterium. RNAcentral describes it as "tRNA-Leu". It matches the Rfam family "tRNA". Rfam says of the family: Transfer RNA (tRNA) molecules are approximately 80 nucleotides in length. Their secondary structure includes four short double-helical elements and three loops (D, anti-codon, and T loops). The record is from RNAcentral. Lineage: Bacteria; Bacillati; Bacillota; Clostridia; Lachnospirales; Lachnospiraceae.